AAAGUUCUUCGGGGCAGGGUGCAAUUCCCUACCGGCGGUAAAGUCCGCGACCUGCAGGGUUCCGUUUUUAAGAGCGCUGCGGCUGAUUUGGUGAAAUUCCAAAACCGACAGUAAAGUCUGGAUGAGAGAAGAAGCGG
Molecule: regulatory RNA element, 137 nt
Organism: Firmicutes bacterium CAG:534
Lineage: Bacteria; Bacillati; Bacillota
Rfam family: FMN riboswitch aptamer (RFN element)
About the family: The RFN element is a highly conserved domain that is found frequently in the 5'-untranslated regions of prokaryotic mRNAs that encode for flavin mononucleotide (FMN) biosynthesis and transport proteins. This element is a metabolite-dependent riboswitch that directly binds FMN in the absence of proteins.
Source: Rfam